AUUGAACGCUGGCGGCAGGCCUAACACAUGCAAGUCGAGCGGAAACGACACUAACAAUCCUUCGGGUGCGUUAAUGGGCGUCGAGCGGCGGACGGGUGAGUAAUGCCUAGGAAAUUGCCUUGAUGUGGGGGAUAACCAUUGGAAACGAUGGCUAAUACCGCAUGAUGCCUACGGGCCAAAGAGGGGGACCUUCGGGCCUCUCGCGUCAAGAUAUGCCUAGGUGGGAUUAGCUAGUUGGUGAGGUAAUGGCUCACCAAGGCGACGAUCCCUAGCUGGUCUGAGAGGAUGAUCAGCCACACUGGAACUGAGACACGGUCCAGACUCCUACGGGAGGCAGCAGUGGGGAAUAUUGCACAAUGGGCGCAAGCCUGAUGCAGCCAUGCCGCGUGUAUGAAGAAGGCCUUCGGGUUGUAAAGUACUUUCAGUUGUGAGGAAGGGGGUGUUGUUAAUAGCAACAUCUCUUGACGUUAGCAACAGAAGAAGCACCGGCUAACUCCGUGCCAGCAGCCGCGGUAAUACGGAGGGUGCGAGCGUUAAUCGGAAUUACUGGGCGUAAAGCGCAUGCAGGUGGUUCAUUAAGUCAGAUGUGAAAGCCCGGGGCUCAACCUCGGAACUGCAUUUGAAACUGGUGAACUAGAGUACUGUAGAGGGGGGUAGAAUUUCAGGUGUAGCGGUGAAAUGCGUAGAGAUCUGAAGGAAUACCAGUGGCGAAGGCGGCCCCCUGGA
Molecule: ribosomal RNA, 726 nt
Filed under: uncultured Vibrio sp.
Lineage: Bacteria; Pseudomonadati; Pseudomonadota; Gammaproteobacteria; Vibrionales; Vibrionaceae
Description: bacterial SSU rRNA
Rfam family: Bacterial small subunit ribosomal RNA
Source: RNAcentral